RNAcentral lists this ribosomal RNA (434 nucleotides) under uncultured bacterium. Its description in RNAcentral is "partial 16S ribosomal RNA". It matches the Rfam family "Bacterial small subunit ribosomal RNA", at positions 29 to 507 of the family's 1533-position model. The record is from RNAcentral.
AGCGAACGCUGGCGGCAGGCCUAACACAUGCAAGUCGAACGAACCUUUCGGGGUUAGUGGCGGACGGGUGAGUAACACGUGGGAACGUGCCUUUAGGUUCGGAAUAACUCAGGGAAACUUGUGCUAAUACCGAAUGUGCCCUUCGGGGGAAAGAUUAAUCGCCUUUAGAGCGGCCCGCGUCUGAUUAGCUAGUUGGUUGAGGUAAUGGCUCACCAAGGCGACGAUCAGUAGCUGGUCUGAGAGGAUGAUCAGCCACAUUGGGACUGAGACACGGCCCAAACUCCUACGGGAGGCAGCAGUGGGGAAUCUUGCGCAAUGGGCGAAAGCCUGACGUAGCCAUGCCGCGUGAAUGAUGAAGGUCUUAGGAUUGUAAAAUUCUUUCACCGGGGACGAUAAUGACGGUACCCGGAGAAGAAGCCCCGGCUAACUUCGUG